This 549-nucleotide ribosomal RNA is filed under the name uncultured Glomeromycotina. RNAcentral describes it as "SSU rRNA". It matches the Rfam family "Eukaryotic small subunit ribosomal RNA", at positions 548 to 1098 of the family's 1831-position model. Lineage: Eukaryota; Fungi; Glomeromycota. The record is from RNAcentral.
UUGGAGGGCAAGUCUGGUGCCAGCAGCCGCGGUAAUUCCAGCUCCAAUAGCGUAUAUUAAAGUUGUUGCAGUUAAAAAGCUCGUAGUUGAAUUUCGGGGUUAGUAGGUUGGUCAUGCCUCCGGUAUGUACUGGUCUCACUGAUUCCUCCUUCCUGAUGAACCGUAAUGCCAUUAAUUUGGUGUUGCGGGGAAUUUGGACUGUUACUUUGAAAAAAUUAGAGUGUUUAAAGCAAGCUAACGCUUGAAUACAUUAGCAUGGAAUAAUGAAAUAGGACGUUCGAUCCUAUUUUGUUGGUUUCUAGGAUUGACGUAAUGAUUAAUAGGGAUAGUUGGGGGCAUUAGUAUUCAAUUGUCAGAGGUGAAAUUCUUGGAUUUAUUGAAGACUAACUACUGCGAAAGCAUUUGCCAAGGAUGUUUUCAUUAAUCAAGAACGAAAGUUAGGGGAUCGAAGACGAUCAGAUACCGUCGUAGUCUUAACCAUAAACUAUGCCGACUAGGGAUCGGAUGAUGUUAAUUUUAUAAUGACUCAUUCGGCGCCUUACGGGAAAC